This 253-nucleotide ribosomal RNA is filed under the name uncultured bacterium. RNAcentral's name for it is "partial 16S ribosomal RNA". It matches the Rfam family "Bacterial small subunit ribosomal RNA", at positions 524 to 776 of the family's 1533-position model. The record is from RNAcentral.
UACGAGGGGGGCAAGUGUUGUUCGGAAUCACUGGGCGUAAAGGGCGCGUAGGCGGGCUCUUAAGUUGGAUGUUUAAAACCGGGGCCCAACCCCGGCGUGGCAUCCAAAACUGGGAGUCUUGAAUGGAACAGAGGCUAGUGGAAUUGGAGGUGUAGCGGUGGAAUGCGUAGAGAUCUCCAAGAACACCCGUUGCGAAGGCGGCUAGCUGGGUUCACAUUGACGCUGAGGCUCGAAAGCGUGGGGAGCAAACAGG